Molecule: ribosomal RNA, 554 nt
Filed under: Trichosphaeriales sp. PSU-ES117
Lineage: Eukaryota; Fungi; Ascomycota; Sordariomycetes; Trichosphaeriales
Description: eukaryotic LSU rRNA
Rfam family: 5.8S ribosomal RNA (bases 207-360)
Source: RNAcentral
GAAGUAAAAGUCGUAACAAGGUCUCCGUUGGUGAACCAGCGGAGGGAUCAUUACAGAGUUAUCCAACUCCCAAACCCAUGUGAACUUAUCUGUUUGUUGCCUUGGCGCAAGUUACCCGGGACCUCGCGCCCCGGGCGGCCCGCCGGCGGACAAACCAAACUCUGUUAUCUUCGUUGAUUAUCUGAGUGUCUUAUUUAAUAAGUCAAAACUUUCAACAACGGAUCUCUUGGUUCUGGCAUCGAUGAAGAACGCAGCGAAAUGCGAUAAGUAAUGUGAAUUGCAGAAUUCAGUGAAUCAUCGAAUCUUUGAACGCACAUUGCGCCCAUUAGUAUUGUAGUGGGCAUGCCUGUUCGAGCGUCAUUUCAACCCCUAAGCACAGCUUAUUGUUGGGAAUCCACGCCUGUGGUUCCUCAAAGACAUUGGCGGAGUGCCAGUAGUCCUAGAGCGUAGCAAUUCUGUAUACAAAGUUCGUUAGGGGCCUUGGGAGUUGGAUAACUCUGUAAUGAUUUUUCGGCUGGCCCACCAUCGGAGACCUUGUUACCACUUUUACUUCU